UUUAUUUCUUUGUUAUUAUUGUCUUGCGCCUUGGAAAAAGAUUUUCUAAAGGCCCUGUUUUGAAGGACAUACCACAUGAAGAGUAAUGACUGUGCUGCUGUAGUUUGUGAGCAGAUUGACUUGCUGUUCUUCUUUCUUUUUCAUUCUUUUUUGGUUUUGAUUUGCUGAGAAACUGUUUAAAGGAGAAAAACCCAGUACCUCUUUCCCCCCGCUCUUCUCUUACCCCCCAAAUCCCAACUGCAGGAAUGUUUGCUUUUUUUGGCAGCACUAAUAUUUAUUCCUUACUUAAUAGGAAUUCUCCCCUGUGUUAAGAAUGUUGCUUUUAGAGCUUGAAGAUCUAAACAUAAAGUAUUUUAUCACUAUUCUGAUUUUCUCCCCUCUUUAUACAAUUUUGGAGCAGUUAGGAAAAGGCAAAUAUUAAAACAAAAAUUACCGUCUUAGAGUGUCUGUGAAAAUUUAUGUACUAAAAAGCAGCUGUAAAAUGUUUAAUGUUUAAAUUAAUGUUUUAUGUUUACAAUAAAAACUCUUCAGCCAUGAAGGGCUUUUAAAAGCUACAUGCUAAAUACAAGCAAAACCAAAGCAAACAACAACCCUGUGAAGCCCAGUUUCAACACAUGAAAUGCCAAGUAAGACUUUUGUGUGGACUUUAUAAGUUUUCAUGUGUUGCUCUACUGAAAAAAAAACACCUACAAAUGUCAAAGCUACAAAAGGAGCUGGUUAGAAUAGGAAGGCAAAACACUUAAUUUCUUAAUAAUAGGUAUUUUUGCAAUUCUGAGCGUAUUUGUGAUGGUCUGGUUUACUUUUUUAUUUGAAUUGUGUUAUAAAUAAAACAGCUUCUCUCCUCCCCCUUUUCUGCCAGCUGUAAGCACCCUAUCCUCCAAUAAAGGUUUAAACAAAUGAAUAGAUUUAAAAGAGACCAUUAUGCACUAGCUAGCGCAGACUGAGGAGAAGAAAUGUUGCCAAAUCAUACUCCUUUUAAAAUCAAUAGGAAUUCUUGCUAUUGGAUUCAAUGGGAGUAUAAUUAGGUUCUAAACGCACACAUUUUCUCGACAAUGUGGGUUUCUUUACCUUUCUUAUUCUUGUUUCCCUCUCAGAUAUGAAGAAGUCUCACUGUUCCAACGUGUUCUCAGUUUGAACAGCGUUUUAGCAAUUUCUCCCCUAAAAUACUUGUGGCACAGGCUAGAGAAGGCAAACUCUUGGCACAAGUAACCUCCAUUACCUACACAGAAAUUCAGCUGUAAGUUAACACCAGCAAGAGCAUAGCCCAUUCCCCAGCAGACACUUAAAGCCUUGAUAUCCUAUGUUCCCUGUCCACCCUCCCGCUUCUGAGCAUCACUUUCCUAGUGAUCUGGUCAGAACAAUGCCACAUACUGAAUCAUCACCAACAUCCUUUCCCUUUGCAGCUCAGUUUUGUUUUGCAGGUCUCAUUGUAGGGAUACUGACUAAGCCCAAAUAUAUUUAGGUUGAAUCAAAUAUAAAUCUGUCCCACAAUUUGAAAUGAUUUUGGAAACCCCUAUCAAAGUAGGUACACGAAGAUGAUAUAAAUAACUUCCCCUUGGAAGGUCUACAUAAGGAGGACAUGGCAUUUACCACAUCUGCAUGUUGGACUUCAAAUCAGCCACCAGGGAGUCUUGAGUCCACUCCCAUUAAUCUCUCAACGACUCCCUUUUAUAAACAGUGCAUUGAACAACAGCAAAAAUAUAUAAAGCCACACUAUUUCACAAAGCUUGAGAAUUAAGAGUUCUCUUUUUCAUUUUUUUUCCACACACAAAUCCUACGCAAAUAGUUUUAUCCACAGCACUACCUUAAUAAAUUAAUGUCAGCCUUUACUUUGUUCCAAAUAAAGGGAUGCAAGAGCACUUUUUUAACUGUUUCUUGGUUAGAGGUAGCUAAUAAAAUUACUUCAAAACAUUUAAAAUGGUGAGUAUUCUUCUUUCAACUGCUCUAGAAACCAGAAAAAA
Strigops habroptila (Kakapo) is the source of this 1961-nucleotide long non-coding RNA. The record is from Ensembl. Lineage: Eukaryota; Metazoa; Chordata; Aves; Psittaciformes; Psittacidae.